CUCAGUUCGGACUGUAGGCUGCAACUCGCCUACACGAAGUUGGAAUUGCUAGUAAUCGUGGAUCAGCAUGCCACGGUGAAUACGUUCCCGGGUCUUGUACACACCGCCCGUCACACCAUGGGAGCUGGUAACACCCGAAGUCAGUAGUCUAACCGCAAGGAGGACGCUGCCGAAGGUGGGAUUAGCGACUGGGGUGAAGUCGUAACAAGGUAGC
This 214-nucleotide ribosomal RNA is filed under the name uncultured bacterium. RNAcentral describes it as "partial 16S ribosomal RNA". It matches the Rfam family "Bacterial small subunit ribosomal RNA", at positions 1287 to 1500 of the family's 1533-position model. The record is from RNAcentral.